Apodemus sylvaticus (European woodmouse) is the source of this 2528-nucleotide long non-coding RNA. RefSeq lists it as uncharacterized. The transcript is spliced from 2 exons. The record is from RefSeq and is a predicted model, not a curated record. Lineage: Eukaryota; Metazoa; Chordata; Mammalia; Rodentia; Muridae.
CACAGCCUGCUUACAGCCUGUGACCCCCACAGCUGUGGGAUCCUGCACAGCAGAGAAGGAGUGUGGUUUCCCUGCAGCUCCUGGGCUGGGAGGAGUGUCCUGGUGGGAGGGGCACUGGCAGCUGCUGUCAUCAGAAGCUAACAGCUAACAUACACUGAGCCAUUCGUGCCUCCCGUCAACUCAGUCUUCCAGAGAUGUGGGAAGCGCAAGUCAUCCGAACACCUGGAUCCAGCUGUGCCUAAAGCAAGCCGUUGCUACAAUGUCUUUAAUGUGACUCACUGAAUUCCUCAUAACUUGAACUGGUCUGAGUUGGGGUUUGGUCCCUCUCAAGUCGAGUCGGGGAGCCCUGAUUAACCCACCUGUCUUAUGGACUUUAUCAAGGCUUCUAUCUCCUCAUCCUUCUGAGGCGAGAGACACACCCGUUAACUGUCCCCUCCCUGUGCUGACUCACGGGUCCCCCAGAGUUUCUGUCCUCCCUUCCUUCAUGGGUCUGCCCCUUUCCCACACACCCUGCUCAGGACAGAGGGCGUGUGGGUGUGCGUGCCAGCGUGUGAGCACGCCCUUGUUCCGGGAAGGUGUCCCGUGGGCUUUGCUUGGCCCCAGAUCAGACCUCGUUAUUAACGUGAUGACAGCUAACAGAGACUGUGUCUGCCCCCAGAGCAGGUGGCUGCUCUGCAGGAGCAGCCCUUCCAGGCAUGUUUGUGGUCCCCGAGUCCUGGGAGGCCAACCAAGCUGAGCAGCGAGAAGCAGAAACUGCACCCCAAAUCCAGUGGCUGGAUCUCUACUCUGAAGUCAGAAGCAUAUUGACGUGGUUUCUGAUGGAGACAAUAGAUCACUAGGCCUGCUCAAGCCUGCCUAGCAUGACCUGGGUCCUUCAGCCCGGAGCCCAUGAUCCCCUCCUGGCUCUCCUGCUCUCUCCUCUCCACAGGCCCGGUACCAUCUACAGCUCAGGAGUGCUGAACUAGCCCUGUGCCUCUGCAGUCACCAAGAAGUGACUCUGGCCACCUCACCAGCCCUGUCACCUCUCAUGAACUACCACAGCACCUGGGCAUGAGGCAGUCCAGAAGAGUGACAAGUCAGAAGAAAGGAGGCAAGGGCCCGUGAGCUUGGCCACCUGAAUGUUCUUGGGGACAGGAGAGGAAGAAACCUCAAAACAGGGGCCAGAAGGCAGGGCACAUGGUGGCCCUGGGAAGCCACCAAGAGAUCUGUGGUUAGGACUUCUGAGGGUACAUGCUCCCACCCACGGGGUCUCCUGUCAUAGGCAGUUGAACAAGGUCCCAGUGGCUCAGGAUAUCAUUAAAGCAGAGACAAUGGAAGCUUCCAGUCAGCAUGGACAGAUGGGUAAACUGAGUCAGGGAUCCCUCAUAGGGCCAGAGAGAUCUGCUUGAUCGCCAGAGAGAUCUGCUUGAUCGCAGAUCAUCUGCUUGAGUCAAACUCUUGGCCCAGGAAACCCAGACAGAUUCAGGAGAGAGGAUCUAGGAGAGAGGAGGUGAGGCAAACCUCUUUUGCCCUCAGACACACAGCUUCCACAACCAGGUAGGCGGCCACACUCCAGGCCCCACCCACCGCCACGUCUCCUGAUGGACACUCACCUGCAGCAGCCCUGGCCUUGCAUACCCCAGGCACACCGCUCCUGGACUCAUCUCACAGCCAAUUGUCUCUCAGCCAGCCUCCAGGCCACAGCGAGGAGUGAGAGCCAGAAGCCAGGAUGGUUUGGAGGACACCGGAGCCAACGGGCAGCCAUCAGGGCAGCAGUGACCAAGCAGUUUGCUCGAAGCCAUCGUCCCCAUUUGGCAGAUGAAGAAGCAGCACAGAGAGGCCAAGUGGCUUGCCCUGGGUCACACAGCCAUGCAAUAGCAGAGACAAAAGUUAAUCCAGGCCCUGUGACUCCAAAGCGCUCAGUCCUGUCUUUAGUGCAGGCCUCACCAAGACUUUGGGACAAGAAGGGACCUGAGGAGAGGCAGGUGGCUGAGGUGGAAAUGUUAGGUCAGCUCCUCCUCCAGCUUCAGAAGGUAUGGCCCCUCCCUGGCCUCAGUUUCAGUCUCUACAAAAUGGGCAGCUGUCACUCCCGUCCCGGGCACAGAUACCUCUGAGUUUGAAACAUUCCAUUUUGCCUGGAAGCCCCUUAAGCAAGAAGGUAAAUGACUCCAGAUAGCAUCAGGAAGUCCCUGAGACUGAGCAGAUGCACUAGGCCCCGCCAUGCCAGAGUAAGUAAUAAAUGCGGAGAGUGGGCCUCAGACAGGAAGCUGAGCUGCGAAGAAGACCUAGACCAGACCAACUGCCUGGAAGGAACAGAAGCCAGCGGAGCUGCCCGGCAGAGGGUUGGACCAGCUGAGGCAUCUGGAAAGGACGCUCUCCAGCCUGGUGAGCUGCCUGCAGGCCGUGCAGUGGGCUCCAGGUUCCCAGCUUUGUGAGCUGUCACCCGUGCUGGGUGGGCUUUGGUGACAAAGCUGUCAUUGAGUCAUUUCUGCUCCUGUGAGUAACCCCUCCCCCAUAAGGGACCCCAAUAAAACUCACUGCAUCACCAA